RNAcentral lists this ribosomal RNA (400 nucleotides) under uncultured bacterium. RNAcentral describes it as "bacterial SSU rRNA". It matches the Rfam family "Bacterial small subunit ribosomal RNA", at positions 356 to 773 of the family's 1533-position model. The record is from RNAcentral.
GGGGAAUAUUGGACAAUGGGGGAAACCCUGAUCCAGCAAUGCCGCGUGAGUGAUGAAGGCCUUAGGGUUGUAAAGCUCUUUUACCAGGGAUGAUAAUGACAGUACCUGGAGAAUAAGCUCCGGCUAACUCCGUGCCAGCAGCCGCGGUAAUACGGAGGGAGCCAGCGUUGUUCGGAAUUACUGGGCGUAAAGCGCGCGUAGGCGGCUAUUUAAGUCAGAGGUGAAAUCCCGGGGCUCAACCCCGGAACUGCCUUUGAAACUAGAUGGCUAGAAUCCUGGAGAGGCGAGUGGAAUUCCGAGUGUAGAGGUGAAAUUCGUAGAUAUUCGGAAGAACACCAGUGGCGAAGGCGACUCGCUGGACAGGUAUUGACGCUGAGGUGCGAAAGCGUGGGGAGCAAAC